GGGCGGUUAGCACAGCUGGGAGAGCACCUGGUUUACACCCAGGGGGUCGGGGGUUCGAGCCCCUCACCGCCCA
This 73-nucleotide transfer RNA is filed under the name Actinomycetota bacterium. RNAcentral's name for it is "Actinobacteria bacterium tRNA-Val". It matches the Rfam family "tRNA". From Rfam's summary of the family: Transfer RNA (tRNA) molecules are approximately 80 nucleotides in length. Lineage: Bacteria; Bacillati; Actinomycetota. The record is from RNAcentral.